Molecule: ribosomal RNA, 497 nt
Filed under: uncultured bacterium
Lineage: Bacteria
Description: partial 16S ribosomal RNA
Rfam family: Bacterial small subunit ribosomal RNA
Source: RNAcentral
GAUGAACGCUGGCGGCGUGCCUAAUACAUGCAAGUCGAGCGAACAGACGAGGAGCUUGCUCCUCUGACGUUAGCGGCGGACGGGUGAGUAACACGUGGAUAACCUACCUAUAAGACUGGGAUAACUUCGGGAAACCGGAGCUAAUACCGGAUAAUAUAUUGAACCGCAUGGUUCAAUAGUGAAAUACGGUUUUUCUGUCACUUAUAGAUGUAUCCGCUCCGCAUUAGCUAGUUGGUAAGGUAACGGCUUACCAAGGCAACGAUGCGUAGCCGACCUGAGCGGGGGAUCGGCCACACGGGAACGGAGACACGGUCCAGACGCCUACGGGAGGCAGCAGUAGGGAAUCGUCCGCAAUGGGCGAAAGCAUGACGGAGCAACGCAGCGUGAGUGAUGAAGGUCUUCGGAUCGUAAAACUCUGUUAUUAGGGAAGAACAAAUGUGUAAGUAACUAUGCACGUCUUGACGGUACCUAAUCAGAAAGCCACGGCUAACUACGUG